UAUGCAGUGGGCCAAGCAGAGAAGAGACACUUCAGGUCUAUGGCUGUAGCUACUGACUGGAAGAAUUUAAGUGAUUUUUGUGAAAUGAAUGUUUAGCCCAUAAAGGAGUUUGGGGACACAGAGACUUAAAGGUUGAUGACAAAAUGAUAGAUCCUCACUUCAAAGUCAGUCUGAGACUGCAGGAAGUUACUCGGAAAUUACAUGCUGGCAAUUAUCCUUCUGGGAUAUUGGGGAUGCUUUGGCUGUCUCCUCUGCGGUUGCCAUCACUGUUUCAGUGUCCAAAUCUUUUUUAUUUUACUCGGAAUUAAACUUUCAGAUCCCACAUAGUGAUUUGAAAAAAAUCACAGUUUGUAUGUCAGAAACACCACACACAUUUACAACUUGCUCCUUACCAUAGGCUCUGUCUACAAAUGGACAUGGGUCAAUUGGAGUAGGACCCAAACAAUGGAUGCAGACCAAAGACCAGCAGUUUGUAUUCUCCCAGCCCAGGGUCCACAAUGCAACAUGUGAGAGCCUCAGCAGAGAAUCCAGCUGGCAGAAUGUGCACAGGCUUUUGGAUCUUAUGAAAACUUCAUCCAUUUCUUCAUUACCCCAUGGCUUCCAGGGAAUACUGCAUUAAAGCAGUGAUUCGAUCUUUAGGGGUGCGACCAUUCAAGAGGCAAAGCAAGUCAGCACAAUUCCUCUUCAGUACUUAAGCAAAAGAAUAUUAAAUUUAGUUGUGUAUUUGUUCGCCUCGUAGAAGAGAACUGCCUUGGUAGGACAGGGGACUCAACAAGGAUGCUGGAGCAGACCAUCACAGCAUUGGCUGAGGUUGCUAACAUCCUUAUACUAAUUAAUUUCCUUUUCUUAACUUUUUUUUUCUUUUUUUUCAGUUUCUAUUUGAAUCAACAUCCAAAGACACAGAAACACAGAAACUGCUAAAGGACAUACUCAAAUUUGAGGUAGAGUCCAAGCCAGGAGGUCAAUGAAAUUCAAGGUGGGGGCAUCCUUGAAUCACCUAUGCCCACGUCAGCUGAGAAGCAGCCAGAGUGCUUCUCCCCUAGGACUGCUGUACUUUGUCCUACAUCAGGCCUUUGCAAGUCACAUCAGAAUGUCCAGAGUUAUCCUCCCACUGCUGCGAGGGUUCACUGCCCCUAUGAAUCAGACACAGCACACAGGCAAAAAAAAUAACGUUGCCAUCCCAACAGCUUGCAGUCAAAAUCAGAGAAGAGAAAAAGCAGAGUGAUAAAACAAACAGAAGAGAAAAGGCAGUUCAAUUGGUAACGUAGCAAUGUUAGGUGAUGUUCCAUAACCCCGAUCUGUAAGGACAGCUCCUGCCCUCACUGCGCAGCCAUUCAGCUCUGAUACCUGUUGAAGCUCCAGAGGCAAAUCAUCUGAACUCUCGGACCACUGAGCUAUCACUGCUGCAGCUAGAGCCAUCAGUGCCAACAUUCUGCCUUCACUGUGGCACAGGGGCGCCAUGUUGGACACUGCCCCACCAGCUGCUCCGCAUUCCUGCAGGGCCACAAUCUCAUCUCUGGGAUGGCAGAAGGACUGGCAAGAACAGUUGGAAGAUUCUGCUUCCUCCACCGCCAUUGUCUUGCGUUGUUCUGCCGACCUGACAAUGUUCUUUUCUUUGCUUUUUAAAUACAAAGCCAUAAAUGCAUAAGGAAUAAAACGCUCUAAUUUAUUCCACAAAAGUGUUCAUCAAGUGAGAGACAGGACUCUGGGAAAAGAUUAAGAGCUUACAUUUUUCAUUUGACUUAUUUCGCAUAAAAUUUCAUAGAGGAUAAAAUGAUGGGAGGCAUAGAAGCAAUGAUAUUUCUGUUUUAUCUCUGUCUAAGGACCAUAAAUCUUUCUGAAGUAUCAUUAAUUAUAGCAGCGCAAUUCACAACGCUAUUGUUAAGGGUCUAUCAGCAGUCCCAUUAUAAACCCCCUAUUUUCAGGGGUUUAUAACUUGGUAAGAAUAAUUUUGUUUCAGGCAAAAACUUUGCUGGGGCAACGCCUCCAUCUAAGAUAAUUUAAAAAAAAAAUUAAAACACAAAAGAAAGUAUUACCUCUUUUGAAUUGAUUAACGGAGAGCCCAGGAACUUUCUAGGGGUAUAAAUCUAAUACUGUAUUGGCUGAUUGAAUCUGUACCAUUUGUGAAGUCAUAAGACUGAAUGCAUUGAAGUUAUCUCUUAGAUGAAUUUAGAUCAUUCCUUUACAAGGAAAGUUUCCAAUUACCAUGGCUGAAUUCAAGAUCUGGACUAUUCCUCUAGUGGCUGUAAUCAAAUCAGAUUUGAUUUCUUCCUUAGCUGAAGCCAGUCAAGAAAGAAUUUAGCAGACCUAGAAAACAGCUUACAUGUUAAGAAUAUUUCAGUGUCUUUGGGUAGCUUGCCUUGUUUUUUUUUCUCUGCUGCAGGCAUGACUUACAUCAAGAAUCAGUGAAGGGCAGUGGUCAUAGCCAACAAAGUGAGUUUUGGCUUAGCAGCAACACAGAAGAUUCACUCUGCCAUGGUUGAGCCACAGUGAAAUGUGCCGAGAGAUGCUCAGUUUCUCCAGAUGCAUGGUGAAAAAUGCUCUUCAGUAGGCAUGAGUGAGACUGGGAGGACACAGGGAAGAAAGGUCACGGCUUACCCUACAGAACAAAAUGACCAGGCAGCCUUUUGCCCGUAGUAACUUGUAGGUUCACCAGGGAAGCCUGAGAGCUCUGCCCAAUUUAGUCCUUGCAGGUUAGGAAAGAGCAAGAUGAAUGUAAU
This 2720-nucleotide long non-coding RNA is filed under the name Gallus gallus (chicken). Its description in RNAcentral is "lncRNA (ENSGALG00010026971.1)". The record is from RNAcentral. Lineage: Eukaryota; Metazoa; Chordata; Aves; Galliformes; Phasianidae.